Molecule: ribosomal RNA, 253 nt
Filed under: uncultured bacterium
Lineage: Bacteria
Description: partial 16S ribosomal RNA
Rfam family: Bacterial small subunit ribosomal RNA
Source: RNAcentral
UACAGAGGUCUCAAGCGUUGUUCGGAUUCAUUGGGCGUAAAGGGUGCGUAGGUGGCGGGGUUAGUCAGGUGUGAAAUCUCGGGGCUCAACCCCGAAACUGCACUUGAUACUGCCUUGCUAGAGUACUGGAGAAGAGAUUGGAAUUUACGGUGUAGCAGUGAAAUGCGUAGAUAUCGUGAGGAAGACCAGUUGCGAAGGCGGAUCUCUGGGCAGUUCCUGACACUGAGGCACGAAGGCCAGGGGAGCAAACGGG